ACCUGUGAUGACAAGCAGACCCCAAGGACCUCCAAAGGUCCCUCAAACCAGUAUUUCAUGGGCACAUCCUGCUUCAACCCCAGAAGGAUCCACUCCAUCCUCAACUGGUUCUACAGUCCAUGAAGGGGGCACUCCGGAAUCCAGCACCAACACACAGUCUCUCACCAACCCCCUUCCCACGUGGACUGGCAGUGAGACCUUGAUUUCUAAUGACACACAGGGCAUAGGACCUGAACCAACCUCUGCCCCUCCACACACAGCC
This 262-nucleotide long non-coding RNA is filed under the name Marmota monax (woodchuck). Lineage: Eukaryota; Metazoa; Chordata; Mammalia; Rodentia; Sciuridae. The record is from RNAcentral.